This 609-nucleotide unclassified non-coding RNA is filed under the name Hevea brasiliensis (rubber tree). The record is from RNAcentral. Lineage: Eukaryota; Viridiplantae; Streptophyta; Magnoliopsida; Malpighiales; Euphorbiaceae.
AAAUCUGUUUUCAAUUUCCUCGGUAUUUAGCUCAUUGGCAACUGCAGAGGCCAACUAUCAUCCUAAAAUCUGAAUUUCUCCUCUCCAUAACACUAGAAAAGUUAGUGGAAGAAUCUCUUUCGACAUCUUGCUGAUCCCAGCUCCUCAUAUUCAGCUUUUGUGAUACACAUUGCAUCAAAGUCAGGACUUGAUGCCAAGAGUGAUCCCCCACGCCAAACACCUAAAAUAGGAUCUUCUUGAGUUGUGAUCUUUAAACAAUAUUUAUCUGGGACAAGAGGCCGAAGGUCCAUUUCUAGUCUUUUGGCAAAAUGAGGAAAUAGAGUACUGCCUCCCGUCAGAAUAAUGCUCUCAUAUAGAACAGGGUGAAGAUGAGAAUGGCAGGAACUGAUAGCUCGAUGAAUGCACUCUGCAAGUCCAGCCUGAUUCAGUCCCAAGUCAGCUGGACGAAACAUCAUCUCUGGGACAAGGAACCGCUCAUUUGUUAAGCCAAAUUCAUUUUUUGUCAAAUCAAUUUUUGAUCCAUUGUUUCUGUUCCUGUCUUCGGAAUUGUCAGUGUUCUCGAGCUGAUCCAUAUCAAUUUGUUCCCCUGCUACCUGCUGCGGAGCUUCA